This 73-nucleotide transfer RNA is filed under the name Afipia sp. P52-10. It matches the Rfam family "tRNA". Rfam says of the family: Transfer RNA (tRNA) molecules are approximately 80 nucleotides in length. Lineage: Bacteria; Pseudomonadati; Pseudomonadota; Alphaproteobacteria; Hyphomicrobiales; Nitrobacteraceae. RNAcentral also lists the same sequence under 3 other names. The record is from Rfam by way of RNAcentral.
GGGGCCAUAGCUCAGUUGGGAGAGCGCGUGAAUGGCAUUCACGAGGUCAGGGGUUCGACUCCCCUUGGCUCCA